GAGGCCUCGGCCUUUUCCCCACGGACGUCGGUCGAGGUCGGCUGUUGUGCUUGUUAUCCUGCGCGCAAUCCGUUGCCAUCCUGGUUCGCCUGCACGGCCGGUGGGGUUUUAAGCGGAGAUGUCGCUCGCCGAGGUAGCGUGGGCCCCGUGUCGGGGGGAAUUGGCGGCCGAACACGGUCCGAAGGCCGGUCAAGCCACUAGGUCCCGAAGCCGGCUGAAGGUCUUUGGCGAAAAUGGCGCCUAGGCCUCAGCCUAUGUGUCACAUUUUCGGAAACAGAUGUCUCAAUAAAAUAUGGAUCCAUUCCCCAUACCGAUGCUUCUUUGCCUUUGUGGAACCCUGACUAGCAGCAAAUGACCUUAUGGACUGAGGACAUAAAGGAAUCUUGCGCCUUUUCUCAUGGAGGUUCCUUGAGUUCUGUUCAGAGCACAGGUAUCUUUGGAGUCAAGUGAUAACAUUGUCUCGUCAUAGGCAAUCGGGCUUACUAACAGUAAGGCAUGCAAGAAAUGGUUGUGCAGAGUGAUGAACUGCGUGUUCCUCUGAAAAGAAUCUUCAACUUGGUCGAUGUCUUAGGUCUUCAGAGACGCCUUGGAAUUCGUCAUGGAACAAACAUAAGAACUCAUCUACUGGCAAUUUUGGGAGGAUCUGUAGAGCUAUGAGUAAAAUAGUCAUAUUUCCAUGCCUGUUUUAUUAAAGAAUGUUUUUAAAAAUAAUGAAAAA
Anolis sagrei ordinatus is the source of this 718-nucleotide long non-coding RNA. RefSeq lists it as uncharacterized. The record is from RefSeq and is a predicted model, not a curated record. NCBI's taxonomy places the organism in Eukaryota, Metazoa, Chordata, Lepidosauria, Squamata, Anolidae.